RNAcentral lists this ribosomal RNA (115 nucleotides) under Heterocephalus glaber (naked mole-rat). The record is from RNAcentral. Lineage: Eukaryota; Metazoa; Chordata; Mammalia; Rodentia; Bathyergidae.
GUCUACAGCCAUACCACCCUGAACGCACCCGAACUUGUCUGGUCUCAGAAGCUAAGCAGGGUCAGGCCUGGUUAGUACUUGGAUGGGAGAAUAGUGUUUCUGGCAAUAGUAGUCA